Lutra lutra (Eurasian river otter) is the source of this 8215-nucleotide long non-coding RNA. RefSeq lists it as uncharacterized. Lineage: Eukaryota; Metazoa; Chordata; Mammalia; Carnivora; Mustelidae. The transcript is spliced from 4 exons. The record is from RefSeq and is a predicted model, not a curated record.
CGUGUACCUGUUGCCCGAUCGGGUUAUUUACCCUGGCACACACCACCCUCCUUGUUGCCAGGACGACCCCUGCCCUGGGGACGAGUUUUGCCGGUGCACCCAAAAUGUCUCCCCCGGUACCCCAGUUUUGCGUUGUGGCGCCGCUGCGGCUUCUGUGAGCCGAGGUGUCCGCGAUCUCCCGCCUGGCCCCCCUCUCGUGCUAGCUGUGGUUCCGGGGUGUUGCCUCGGGAUGGGGAAAGCGUAGCGUUUCUUCGCAGCCCCCAUCCCCCUGGCGGGCGACGUUGCGGACUCUGCGCAGCUGCCGCUGUGACUCACCUCCUUCCUCCCUGCAGAGACCUGUGUGGCCGCAGCCUUUGGCUGAGGGCCCUCGACCCGAUUCUUCAUCUGCCUCUCAAGGUGUGUUCUCAGGAGCAGUGUGGCACCAUCUUCGGGUUUGAUUCCAGGAUCAAUUUUUGAAACCACUUGUGCAGGAGACUUGCAGAGCUUGCAGGGCUGUGCCAGGAUGGAGCGGAGGGAUAAGCCUUGCCCGUGGAAGAACUGUUGAGCUCGCUACCUGGAAGACAGGGCACGCGUCCAGGCACGCGUCCAGGCACGCGUCCAGGCCCGCCACACGCAGGUUGGCCUCCCCAGCUGCUACAGAGAGAAGUUUGGACCUUCUUCCGUUUGUUGUCAUCUGCGUUCACUGAGUAGACCUUGUGUUGAUUACUGGGACCCAGUGUGUCCCAGGGUUGUGGACUGAACGAAUACCAGGCGCCAGACGUACAGCUCUGCUCCCGUACCUCUGACCCCACGACAAAGGAAGAGAGGCCCCGAGCUUGGCAGCUUCUUGGAACGUCCCAGAAGAUCUGGAAUCUAGAAGGAGAGAACAGGUCUGCAAGGAAGAGAUUCUGUUAAGAGAAUAGAUCUUCAGACUUCUUUCUACACACAGGAAAGGUAACUGUGUGAGGUGAGGGGUGUAUUACAAUUACCUUAAUUGUGAUCAUCAUUUCACAAUGUGUACGUAUAUCAAAUCAUAUUACGCACUUUAAUUCUAUACAAUUUUAUCAAUUAAAAAGAAAGCUGGGAAAAAAUACAAAUAAAAUGUCAAGCAGAUCCCCUGAUGGGUGGUUCUGUUGAGUUCAGCUUUAUCCUUGCUGACUGUCUGCCUACUGGGUCUGUCAGUUACUAAUAGAGGGAGUGUGGAAAUCCCUUACGUUAAUAGUGGGUAAUCUAUUUCUCUGCAUUUUUGUCAGUUUUUGCCUCUUGUAUUGUGACGCUUUGUUGGAAAGUGCAUAUAUUUCAAAGAUUAUUGUGUCUUCUCAGAGAAUCGACCCCCCCUUAUUAUGUAACACCCUCUUUAUUCCUUGGAAGUUUCCUUGUUCAAAUGCCUUUUUUGUCUGAAAUUAGUAUCACUACUCCAGCUUUCAUUUGAUUAGUGCCCGUGAUACCCCUCUCCCCGCUCUUUUACUCUUAAUAUUUGUGUGUUUUUAUAUUUAAAUUGGGUUUCUUAUAGACACCAUAGAGUCCGGUCUAGUUUUUCACCUACCCUUACAGUGUCUUCUUUUAACUGGCGAUUUAGAGCGCACGCCCAUUUAAAUUGAUUAUUGAUAGUUGGAUUUAUAUCUACCAUGUUUGUCAAAAUUCUGUAUUUGUUGCACUUGUUCUUUGUUUUUUUCUUAAUCUUUCUGUUUCUGCCUUCUCUUCUAAUUGAGCAUUUUUUAUUAUUCCAUUUUCUCUUCUCUCUCAGCGUAUCAGUUAUAUUUCUUUUUAACUUUUUAGUGGUUUCCCUAGACCUAGACUGCGCAACAUAAAUUUACAACUAAUCUAGGUCCACCUUCAGACAACACUGCACCACUGUCUGGGCAGUGUGGGUGUAACAGAGAAUCCCCAGCUCCCCACUCCCAUCCCUUCAUAACACUGCUACCGUCUCUUGCACUGACCUCCGCGCUAUGAUCACCCGUAUGUUGUGGCUGUUAUUCCUUUGAACAGGUGUCCUUUAGAGUAAAUAAGAAAAAUAAAAUAUUGUAUUUUAGUCUUCACUUAUGCCUUCUCUGAUACCUUUCCUUUAUUCAUGUAGACUCAAAUUUCUGACUAGUACCAUGCUCCUUCUCUCUGAAGACCAUCUUUAUCAUUGACUGGUGACAAAAAUUCUCUCAGUGCUGUAAGUCUGAGUGUUUCACAUUGAAUUAUGUUCCCCUCCAGAAGUCAUAUGUCAAAGCCCGAGCUCCCAACAUGACUGUAUUUGGAGACAGGGCCUUUAGAAAUGUCAUUGAUGUCACAUGUGGUCAUAAGGGUGGGGCCUUACUGCAAUUUGGCUGGUGUCCUUGUAGGAAGAGGAAGAGACCCAAGGAUGCGCGCGCUCAGGGAGGUCAGGCCGUGCGAGGAGACGGCUGUCUCCAAGCCGAGCAGAGAGGCCUCUCGAAAGGCAACACUAAAGCACCUUGAUCUUUGACUUUCAGUCUCCAAAACUGUAGAAAAUCCUUUUUGUGUCAUUGUUUAAAUCACCCAGUUUAUGCUAUUGUGUUAUGGCAGUCCUAGCAAACUGCUAUACCAAGAAAGUCAUUAUUUUCCCUUACUUCGGAAGAAUGAUUUUUCUGAAUAUGUAGACUCCCUUGGUUGGUGGGUUUUUCUUUCACCACUUUAAAUACUUCAUUCUAUUCUCUUCUGGCUUGCAUGAUUUGUGAAGCAAGUCUGAUGUAAUUCCUGCCUUUGUUCCUCUCUAGAUAAGGUGUUUUUAUCCUUUGACUUUUUAAAAGAUUUUUUUCUUUGGCUUUGGCUUUAUGCAAUUUGAAUAUGCUAUGCCUAGGGGUGUGUGUGUGUGUGUGUGUGUGUGUGUGUGUGUGUGUGUGUGUGUAGAUACAUAUAUGUGUGUAGGUAUGUAUGUAUAUUGGCAUUUAUCCUGCUCAGUGUUCUCAGAGGUUCCUAGAUUUGUGGUGUGGUUUCUGCCAUUAAUUUUAGAAAAAUCCCAGUCAUUAUUAUGUCAAAUAGUUCUGUUUCUUUCUCUUUUCUUCUACUUUGGAUAGUCUCAUGAUACGUAUGCUAUACCUUUUGUAAUUGCCCCAUAGCUAUUAGAUAUUCUGUUCCAAUUUUUAUUAUUUUUUAUCUCUUUACAGUUUAGUUUGGGAAGCUUCUAUUGACAUAUCUUCAAGUGCUCUGAUUCUAUCUCCAGCCCUUUCCAAUCAUCUGAUGACCCAUCAGAUGAUAUAUAUACUUGAUUUCUGUUUCUAAUCUUUCCUUUAUAUUCUCUCUUAGGGUUUCUAUCUCCGUUUCCAUUACCUGUCUGCUCUUGCAUAUUGUCCACUUCUCCCACUGAAGCCCUCAGCAUAUUAAUCAUACGUAUUUUUAAUUUCCCUGUCUGAUGAUUUCAAAAUCUCUGCCAUAUCUGAAUCUGGUUCUGACACCUGCUUUGUCCCUUCAGGUUUUUUCUUCUUUCCUUUUAUCAUGCCAUGUAGUUUGUUGUCGUUGUUGAAAGCCAGUCGUGAAUUAUCAGGUAUUAGGAAGUAAAUAGGCCUUUGGUAUGAUGUUUAUUUUUACCUGGCUAAGAGAUAGGCUAUAUUUACUGUUUCCUGUCUCUGUAGCAUCAGAGGAUUCAGUUUCCACUAGUGUCUUUGUUUUUGUCCCCCAGCAUCUUUCGUUUCCCUAGAAAACAGUUCUUCUGUAGAAUUUGAGCCUUACAGUUCUUUUCAGCUGUAAUCCACUAUUAUAAGCCAGGAGCCCUGUUGAUGUUUGGUCAGGUCUGGACUGAGGACACUCAUUCUAGAAUCCUGGGAUUAGGUCUCAGUCUUUAGUGUACCUGGCCCCCUGGGCUGGGACCUUCUCAGGGGUUUCUCUGCUCCCCGCCUCCACCUUAUGUGAAAAGGGAAGGCUCAACAGCCUUGAGUUGCUCACUUCCCUUACCCCGAGUCCCGUAAGGCUUCUUCUCCCUUGCUGGGUAAGCCUUUGUUGUGGAGAAUGCUCUUGGCUUCUUUCAAGAUAGUUCUUUCUUGCCUCUCCCAGGCCCAACAGGAAGCAGUUUUGCUCUGCUCCUCAUUGAGAGGAGCUGAGGAGGAUUCUCGGGGUAGACACCAUGAUUGUAGAGGAGGUGGCUACCUUAGAUGGGGCCCCCAGGAGUUUUCAUCUCUCAAGCUAGUCCACAGCUCACUGAAGCUGCCGUUCAAGGCCAGCACCUCCUGCCUCGGGGGUGCAGCAUUACAGUCCGUGCAGUCUGUCAUCUCUGUCAUCGCUGGUUCCUCUAGGAUUAGGGUGCAGUUGGUCCCAUGACCUCAAUUCUCUGAUAUCCCCACCAAGACUCAUUGAUUUUUAAUCUGUUCAUAUUUUUUCUUGUUGUGAAGAUGGGAGUGAAGACUUGCAAGCCCUUUAUGUGUUGGUGUAGAAUCUUUCCUUUCGAUUUUAGACAUUGUUUCUGUUAGCUCUUUGGACAUAUUAAAAUAGCUGAUGAAAGUCGUUAUGUAGUAAUUCCAGUGCCUGUGCUUCCUUGGGACAGUUCUAGUUCUAUUGCUUGCUGUCCCCUCCAUACGUGGGCCAUCCUUUUUUGAUUCUUAGUGUGCCUCGUAAAAUUUUAUUAAAAACUGGACAUUUUGAAUAUCGUAAUGUGGCAACGCUGGAAAUGAGAUUCCCUUCCUGCCAGACUUCCUUGUUGCCACCUGUUACAGUUCGUGUUUAUUUAGGACUUCUCUGAAUUAAUUCCGCAAAGACUCUCUUCGUUUUUGUAUAUAGCCACUGAAGCCUUGGUUCAGUUAGCUCAGUGUCGGCUAAUGGCGGACGGAGAUUUCCUUGAGUGCCUGGAACAAAUAAAUCUUGCCAUCAUUUCUGAGAGGCUCAGGAUAUAUUUCUAGGGACAUGUGCAGUUACGACAAUACAGACACUGGAAGAUAAGGUUGUGCUUUUCACCUUUAAAGACUAUCACAGUUUGAUUCUGGAAGUCAGAUGGGGAGCACUGGGGGGUACUGUGUACUUACUCUAGCCAUCGGUAGCAUCUCUUAGGGUUUCUGUACUUCACACUCUUGAUGAAGCUAGAGACAUGUUGUUGCUCUGCACUCUAGUUGACCAAGCUGGGAAGGUAAGCUUCCCGCCCCAUCCUCAGUUUGCCUGCAGCCCGGGUCCAUGGCACACCUACCACAUGCGAUCCACUCGAUCUUUCUGCUGGGUAUGAAUUUCCUUCUGGGGCUAAAGAGAAUGUUCUGGAAAUAGAUAGUGAGGUUUGAUGCAAGAAUUUGUAAAUAUACUAGAGACCACUAAAUCGUACAUUUUAACAGGGUGAACAUGAUGGUAUGUGCAUUGUCUCUCAGUAACAAUGUUAUUUUACAAAAGAAGAAAUAAUACUGUGGAGAGCGUAAAUCCCUCCAUGUACUCAAAAAAUACCAAUGGACCGGCCACCGUUUGACAUUUCUAGGGACUAGGGAUCAACAAUUGAACACAAAUUCUUUCCCUUGUAGGCCAUAUAUUCUGGUAUUAGACGAAAAGCAGUAAGGUAGCUUUUCGUAAUAUCUCUGUAUAAUAUCUUAAGAAGAUAAGCACGCUCAAGAGUAUCAAAUAAUUUGUUUUAUGGCUUCCUAACUGCCCUUCAUGUAUGAUCUAGUCUGUUAUUUCUGCUCAUUAGGGUCCCAAAAGGCAACAAAUAAACUUUUCUCAAAACAAACACGAUAGUGAAGCUUUAUGCAGAAUUGCCAAAACAUUGAAGGAACCAAGAUGUCCUUCACUAGGUGAACGGCUGAAUAAGCUGUGGUACAUGCAGACAGUGAAAUAUUACUUAGCAUGAAAAAGAAAUGAGCUAUCAACCCAUGAAAAGACAUGGAAGAACCUUAAAUGCAUUAUUACUAAGUAUUUGAAAAGGCUCCAUCCUGUAGAAUUCCAACCAUAGGACAUUCUAGAAAAGACAGAAUUAGGGAGACAUAAAAAGUUCAGUAGUUGCCAAGGGUUGGGGUCAUUGGGAUGGUGAGAAGGCGGAGCACAGGAGUUCCGGGGCCAUGCGACUCUGUUACUGUCAUGGCGGACGCAUGGCGGUACUCGUUUGUUCACAACCACAGACUAUACAACAUCAAGAGUCCUCUGGUUACUUCUCCAGACUCCCGUGGAGUCUCUCUCCUCCUCACUCCUGAUAUUCAACCACAUGGCGUCUUCUACAAAAUAUGAAACUCUCCUAACUUAGGAUCUUUGCCCAGAACCUUUCAUCUGGCUUACUCUUAUUUAUCCUUCAAGUUCGGCUUUCAUGUUCAUCCAUCUCUUGGAGUAGCCUUUUUUGACCUCGCAGCCUCUAUCUGAAUCCAUUGUAUUCUCUCCUUGUACCAUGUCCCUUAUUGGAUGCACUGAUCACCAUCUGUGUAUUUAUUCGUUUAUUGUCUGGGUCCCCAGCUGGGUGGCCCAUUUCAUGAGCGUAAGGAAGGCAUCUGCCUUGUGCACUGAUGUAUUCCCAGCACAUAGCCCAGGACCUAGAUGGAGUAGGUGCUCAGUGCACCUGCUGACUGUGUGAACAAAUGAAUGGACUUGGUGAGGUUGUUGUUGCUAGCUCAGAGUACUUUAGCCAUUUACCCACUGCCACGCAGCUAGCAAGUGGACAGAAAUGGAGGAGACCUCAGAAGUAUAGUUCGUAGGUGACUAUACCAUCUGGGAGAGUAUUUGCUAAGAAAGGAGGGGUGGGGCAUGGAAAGGGCAGUGGAGAAGAUUCCAGAACAGUGACUCUCAGGGAGAUGUUCCCAGGUAUGGCGGAUGGGGUGAGAAUAUGUAAGCUGCAUAUUCAGUAUUUUACUUUUGUUGAGAAAUAUCUUCUGUUUUCAUAAAACAGACUGUUGAGACUACCCUUUCCCCUGGCUGGGAAGGAGAGUAGGAAAUACAGUGCUUUUCCUCUAACAGGGCAGAUUUUUUUGGUUUUCCAGAAGGAAGCAGGUUUCAAAGUCAAUAGGGAAACCGCCGCCCUAGGGCUUUGUAGCAUUUCCCGAAGCAGAGCAGAGGUCUACGGGGCAUGGGACCGCUCGCAGAGGGGAAGGUGGGUUUUGGCGACACGGCACCCCUCAGGCUGCAUGUUCCCACCGCCCCCUCCCAGACUGCCUGCCCACCACACCCUGCCGUCUGCCCAUUGCUCAGACGCCACACGCCCCUCCAGCCGCAGCCCUCCCUUUCACCCGCGUCACCUCCAUGGGCCUAGCACCCGCCCCCCUCCUGGACUAGGCUGCUUGUCAUCCUCUCUGCUGGGCGGUGUGAGAGCCCGUGUUUCUCGCUGAGAAUAGUUUCGGUGGCCCUGUGGCCAUCUGUAAAAGGAAGGCUGGGUAGUCCAUGAAUCAAAUCCACAGGCGGACAGUUGAUCUGAAGGGAGAAACCAACACGGUGUGGCAUAAGGGCGGCGGUGGGGACUGUGUUUGGAUAGAUGGCUUUUGUUUCUUUUUUGGCUUGGAUCUUGAGGUGUGUUGUUUCGGCAUGUUGUGGUUUUUUUGUCUGUCCACUUGUUAAUAUAUGGGUUAAAAAUAGUCUUUCUGGGAGAGGACCCUUAUUUUUCUAGAGUGAUUUCACACAUUUUUGGUGAGAUGCGGUAGCAUUCCCUUUUCAAAGGACUGAUGGGAAGGGAAGAGUGAGAACAACUUCAUAUGCCAAAGAAACCAGAUAAGGUGUGAAGAGACUGUUCAUCGACAUUUAAAUCCCCACCUCCCGUUUUUGUUUUUAAGAACUUCGCUAGGAAGGAAAUUGACUAAGUCAGUUAGUUAGAGCUGGGGGGAUCUUUUGAAAAGAACCCAGCUUCUCAUUAUUGUAUAUACGGAACAAGAGGCCCAGAGAGGGUACCUAACUUGUCCAAAGUCACAGAGCACUUCAGAGUGGCUGGGGCUGAUUUCUAGUCUGGAGCUCAAGUGGGAAGCAGUAUCUCUUAGUGAAAGGAAAGUCGUGUGAUUUUUAAAGAGUUUCUUCUAUUUUUUGUUAUACGGUUAUUGUAAGAGAAGUUGGAAGAACUUAGUGUUUUAAUUUCUCUGGAGUCCUAACCACUUCAAAAUGAUCGUUGUUAGUAUUUUUGCUGUGUAAUUUUCCAGACCUUUCAAUGUAUAUGUAUCCUGGCAAAAAUGCUGUAUUUAUUAAAAUUGGAUCACACUGUGCAUACUUCUCUGUAAUGUAAUUCUUAAGAGAUGCUUAACUUAUUGUAUUGAGUGAAUGUAACUUCGUUAAUUUAAUCAGUGCCCUAUGAUAGACAUAUAAGCUUUUUCAGAUGUUAAGCUCUUAUAAAAGAUGCUGCAUUAAAGAUUCCUGUUUGUACAUU